This 529-nucleotide long non-coding RNA is filed under the name Fukomys damarensis (Damara mole-rat). RNAcentral describes it as "lncRNA (ENSFDAG00000028693.1)". The record is from RNAcentral. Lineage: Eukaryota; Metazoa; Chordata; Mammalia; Rodentia; Bathyergidae.
GGAAAACCACUUCACCAGUUUGGACAAGAGAGGCUGUUUGUAGCCAGAAGUAGACAGAUACAGGACCUGUGGCCACGGAUGACUACAUGUGCCCCCAAGGAGAUGUGCAAGAGAACUUGAGGGGUUCGAUGAUUCUAAAUUUGAAUCUGGCUGCCCAAGAAAGGGCCACACUACAGCAAGGCCGGAACCCAGACGAGCCACUCGGCCUACUUGUGCUGUUUGGUGUUCCGCAGCUGCUCCUGCACGCGCUUGUAGGAAUGAGCAGAGAUCUGACCAGCAUCUGCAAGCGGGGCCCGCACUCCUUGGCGAAAUCCUGGCAGGUAAGGUGGUUUAUCGCCUGUUCCGCCCUUUACAGUGAAGGGCAGGUGGAGGGAGUCCACCGUGAUGUCAGCAAGGAGCCAGGGGCUACGCACAAUGGCAGGUCUGCAGCCGCGCACUGUGAUCAGGGUCACUGUUAGAUGUGAGCCACAGCUGAGUCUGCGCUCUGCUGAUUCUUCACCCUGCUUUCACCCCAUCACAGUUCUCCAAU